Gekko japonicus is the source of this 213-nucleotide long non-coding RNA. RefSeq lists it as uncharacterized. The transcript has 4 exons. Lineage: Eukaryota; Metazoa; Chordata; Lepidosauria; Squamata; Gekkonidae. The record is from RefSeq and is a predicted model, not a curated record.
CGCAGCAGAAGGGGAAGAAGUCGGUUGAGACGCUCGGUUUCUUACUCAGGAGGUAACAGAGAUUCUUUCGUGAUGCCCUGCGGAGUCAGAUGUUGCCCUUCUAUCUGCCGCCCCUGCUGGCCACCAUGUUAUAAUCCGUGCAAUCAAGGAUGCUAUGGCCCUUUGCAGUGGAGCUGCUGCUGCCGCUAGACACUCACAGAGAUGGCAACACAG